This is a long non-coding RNA of Brassica oleracea var. oleracea, 251 nucleotides long. RefSeq lists it as uncharacterized. The record is from RefSeq and is a predicted model, not a curated record. NCBI's taxonomy places the organism in Eukaryota, Viridiplantae, Streptophyta, Magnoliopsida, Brassicales, Brassicaceae. The transcript is spliced from 3 exons.
GAAUGGUGUCGGUCUCGACGAUAUGAGCUUCACCGAGCUGGCUUCACUUGGAAGUAUGUUGGAUGAGGGCUUCCGCAUUGUGGACGAACAACUAGACAAUGCACACGAGGAAAUAACAACCAAGCAGCUUUUUGAGUACGAUCUUAUGGGGGGACCGGACUGGACUCAAAGAAUAGAGAAGAAGAUUUGGCCUACCAAUCCCUUCUAGCGGGGAGAAGAGUAGCUUUGAGGAACAAGGCUAGAGAAUUCCG